Pichia membranifaciens NRRL Y-2026 is the source of this 104-nucleotide small nucleolar RNA. It matches the Rfam family "Small nucleolar RNA snR60/Z15/Z230/Z193/J17". Rfam says of the family: The members of this family belong to the C/D class of snoRNAs which contain the C (UGAUGA) and D (CUGA) box motifs. Most of the members of the box C/D family function in directing site-specific 2'-O-methylation of substrate RNAs. Lineage: Eukaryota; Fungi; Ascomycota; Pichiomycetes; Pichiales; Pichiaceae. The record is from Rfam.
AAACUUAAUAUGAUGAUUAAGAUUUUAACGCAUAGUUCAACUGACUCUAAUGAGGACAAAAACUUACCAUCAAAUAGUCUUUCACCCCUAUCUGAUCUAUGUUU